ACUCCUACGGGAGGCAGCAGUGGGGAAUAUUGCACAAUGGGCGAAAGCCUGAUGCAGCAACGCCGCGUGAACGAUGAAGGCCUUCGGUUGUAAGUUACUUUCUUUAGUAGAAGAAUCCAUGACGGUAUCUAAGGAAUAAGCCCCGGCUAACUACGUGCCAGCAGCCGCGGUAAUACGUAGGGGCGAAGCGUUAUCCGGAAUCACUGGCGUAAGGAGUGUAGGCGGUCAAGCAAGUCAGAGGUGAAAGGCAUCGGCUCAACCGGUGUAAGCCUUUGAAACUGUUUGACUUGAGUGCAGGAGAGGUAAGUGGAAUUCCUAGUGUAGCGGUGAAAUGCGUAGAUAUUAGGAGGAACACCAGUGGCGAAGGCGACUUACUGGACUGUAACUGACGCUGAGGCUCGAAAGCGU
RNAcentral lists this ribosomal RNA (408 nucleotides) under uncultured bacterium. Its description in RNAcentral is "bacterial SSU rRNA". It matches the Rfam family "Bacterial small subunit ribosomal RNA", at positions 335 to 762 of the family's 1533-position model. The record is from RNAcentral.